AGGUGGUGGCAUGGUUGUCGUCAGCUCGUGUCGUGAGAUGUUGGGUUAAGUCCCGCAACGAGCGCAACCCCUAUUGUUAGUUGCCAUCAUUCAGUUGGGCACUCUAGCGAGACUGCCGGUAAUAAACCGGAGGAAGGUGGGGAUGACGUCAAAUCAUCAUGCCCCUUAUGACCUGGGCUACACACGUGCUACAAUGGUUGGUACAACGAGUUGCGAGUCGGUGACGGCGAGCUAAUCUCUUAAAGCCAAUCUCAGUUCGGAUUGUAGGCUGCAACUCGCCUACAUGAAGUCGGAAUCGCUAGUAAUCGCGGAUCAGCACGCCGCGGUGAAUACGUUCCCGGGCCUU
RNAcentral lists this ribosomal RNA (346 nucleotides) under uncultured Streptococcus sp. Its description in RNAcentral is "bacterial SSU rRNA". It matches the Rfam family "Bacterial small subunit ribosomal RNA", at positions 1036 to 1382 of the family's 1533-position model. The record is from RNAcentral. Lineage: Bacteria; Bacillati; Bacillota; Bacilli; Lactobacillales; Streptococcaceae.